Long non-coding RNA from Myzus persicae (green peach aphid), 854 nucleotides. RefSeq lists it as uncharacterized. The transcript has 2 exons. The record is from RefSeq and is a predicted model, not a curated record. Lineage: Eukaryota; Metazoa; Arthropoda; Insecta; Hemiptera; Aphididae.
CGGCGGGGAGAAAACCAGUAUGCGGACGAGUCUCAAAAAAAAAGUAAAACCGACACACUUGGGUUCACUUUAAUGUGCACGACAACGAGGUAGGUACCUAUGAUAUAUAGGUACCUCUCUACAGCGACGUCAUGCAGAUACCUACGCCGGUAAUAAUUGUAUUAAAUCGUUUAAGAUUUCUCAACAUCCUGGUACCUUUGUAUAUUUACAUUAUACAGAGUGGUUCGCUGUGCAGCUCAUCGCCCCAACUGAUAACUUUUUUCCCUAACUAAACCUCAAUCAUAUUAUAGGUAUACACAAUGUAUUUUUGAAAUACGAUUUUGAAAAACUAUUACUGUUUAAUAUGGAAACUAUAGAAUAUAGUCGCGAAUCAUGACUUUAUUAUUAUAAUUUAUAAUGUUUAUGUAAUACAUAUAAUAUUUUGUGUUGGCAUCUAAACUCGAAAUUUGUUUAUAAAUGUGUCAUAUUCUUGAAAACUACGAGAAGUCGAGAAAGUCAAUAAUUUAGAGCUAUGAACUAUUUUAUGUAGAUAUGUUAUACAUAAAUACAAUAAAAUACAUUUUACAAAUUAAUUUUAGAAGCUUUAAAGCUUGUGCAGGGGUCUACAUGUCGGUUGCAGAUAUGGGCAAGUAUCAACUGCACGAAGGACACUCUGUAUAAUAUUACGCAUCUACUACUCUUAGUUCUGGGUAAAUAUAUACCUAUUGUAUAAAUUGUAUUCAAUAUAUUAUGCGCGACCGCUAUUGAACGAAACAAUAUGACCUUUUUCCAAAUGGUUUUUUGGUGUUUGGCUGUUAUAUCGACCUGCAGAAUUGAUUUAUUUCAUCAAUGAUGGUCUCCGGCAUUUUUAUACG